Non-coding RNA from Erinaceus europaeus (western European hedgehog), 106 nucleotides. NCBI's taxonomy places the organism in Eukaryota, Metazoa, Chordata, Mammalia, Eulipotyphla, Erinaceidae. The record is from Rfam.
CGCGGGUCCAAGCCUGUUGCCCCAAAUCGGAUAAUCUCUGCCGCUGAUAACAAGCAAAAAAAGAAGCCAGGCAACAACCAUAUUAAAGAAGAAAACAACUGAGAGG